CCUACGGGUGGCAGCAGUGAGGAAUAUUGGUCAAUGGGCGAAAGCCUGACGCAGCGACGCCGCGUGAGGGAUGAAGGUCUUCGGAUCGUAAACCUCUGUCAGCAGGGAAGAACGGUCACGGUGCUAAUCAGCAGUGACUUGACGGUACCUGCAAAGGAAGCACCGGCUAACUCCGUGCCAGCAGCCGCGGUAAUACGGAGGGUGCGAGCGUUCAUCGGAAUUACUGGGCGUAAAGCGCUCGUAGGCGGUAUGUCAAGUCAAGGGUGAAAUCCCCGCGCUCAACGUGGGAACUGCCUUUGAAACUGGCAAACUGGAGUGUGUGAGAGGAUAGUGGAAUUCUAGGUGUAGGAGUGAAAUCCGUAGAUAUCUGGAGGAACAUUAGUGGCGAAGGCGACUAUCUGGCACAUAACUGACGCUGAGGAGCGAAAGCGUGGGUAGCAAACAGGAUUAGAUACCCCGGUAGUC
Molecule: ribosomal RNA, 465 nt
Filed under: uncultured bacterium
Lineage: Bacteria
Description: partial 16S ribosomal RNA
Rfam family: Bacterial small subunit ribosomal RNA
Source: RNAcentral